This is a long non-coding RNA of Pleuronectes platessa (European plaice), 1195 nucleotides long. RefSeq lists it as uncharacterized. Lineage: Eukaryota; Metazoa; Chordata; Actinopteri; Pleuronectiformes; Pleuronectidae. The record is from RefSeq and is a predicted model, not a curated record. The transcript has 3 exons.
GUGUGUGCGAGUGUGUUUGUGAGGUAUGUGUAUCCACACUCUAAAUCUGUCCCGCUCUCUAAUCCCAUAAUCCAGUGGUUAAACCCCGACUGAGUGCCGCUACGUUUUCAUGAAUGAGUUUUUGUCGUUUGUCGUGUGUUUACGUGUGUGUGCCGUCGAGAGAGAGGGAGAGAGAGAGUGAGAGAGGGAGAGAGAGACAGACAGAAAGUUAAAACAGAAGAAUGACUAUAUGGCAGAUAAAAAGGAGGACACAGGGAUCCUGUAAGGACACAGAGGAGAGAAAAAUAAGAUGAACAAAAAGGAAGAGAGACAAAUAGAGUGAGGGAUGAGAGAACGUGAUCCUGAAGCAAUCUAAACCCAGGAGGAGGCGGAUAAGACACUCGGGAGAGAGAGAGAGAGAGAGAGAGAGUGCUGGAACUGACAGUGCAACUCCUACUCAGUCCAUCAGCCGGGCACAGAAUCCAUUCUUCACUUUCUUGAGAUGUGAUUUCGGUCUUUUCUCUCGUGUCGAGGUGUCGGGACUGGGAGAGUUUUGUCGUUACUCCCGAUGUUCUAACGGCUGUUAUCUUCUCUAAUUGUGCAAAGACAAACAUUCCCCUCCUACACUCCCACUGGGAGAAGUUCUGAGGAAAGAAAAGAAACCACAGCGUGGAGGAUUCAAGGAUGAAGCAUUGAAUGGACGUCACCGGAGAUGGAGCCACUGGCCGAGCGGCUAAAAACAGUUCAAGUGUUGUUCCGUGAUGUUUGAAACGAAUGGCCGCACACGGGAGAAGAGAUCGAGGGCAGGGACACGGUGCGAGAGACAGAAGAGGAGGACGAGUGGUUGAGAGUGUUUGCAAGUCAGAGUGAGAGUAUGUCAUCGAGGGAGGGAGGCGUUUACUCAACUGUUCUCACAGCCACUCAUCUGACUCCCCUGUUUUCUCUCCAUCUCCCCUCGCGUGCAUUUGAAACAUAACUGGAACGACAUUUGAUUUUUAAUGUUAAAGUUAUAUUGAGACUCACACGUUGAUGACAGAUGCUCCUGAAAUAGUCUGUGCAUAAUGAGCUGAUGAAUUAUUCUGGUGUCAGAAGCUCGGUGACGAUCGAGCAUUGAGGAGGAAUAAAAGAAGCACUUCUGUGGUUUGUUUAUUAAAUUAGUGUUCGAUGUAAUGUUUUCUGAAUCAAGAACAUUUACUUUACUGUUAUCAGUCUAUAU